AGUGAACGCUGGCGGUAGGCCUAACACAUGCAAGUCGAACGGCAGCACAGUAAGAGCUUGCUCUUACGGGUGGCGAGUGGCGGACGGGUGAGGAAUACAUCGGAAUCUACUUUUUCGUGGGGGAUAACGUAGGGAAACUUACGCUAAUACCGCAUACGACCUACGGGUGAAAGCAGGGGAUCUUCGGACCUUGCGCGAUUGAAUGAGCCGAUGUCGGAUUAGCUAGUUGGCGGGGUAAAGGCCCACCAAGGCGACGAUCCGUAGCUGGUCUGAGAGGAUGAUCAGCCACACUGGAACUGAGACACGGUCCAGACUCCUACGGGAGGCAGCAGUGGGGAAUAUUGGACAAAGGGCGCAAGCCUGAUCCAGCCAUACCGCGUGGGUGAAGAAGGCCUUCGGGUUGUAAAGCCCUCUUGUUGGGAAAGAAAAGCAGCAGGUUAAUACCCCGCUGUUCUGACGGUACCCAAAGAAUAAGCACCGGCUAACUUCGUG
This 492-nucleotide ribosomal RNA is filed under the name uncultured bacterium. Its description in RNAcentral is "partial 16S ribosomal RNA". It matches the Rfam family "Bacterial small subunit ribosomal RNA", at positions 29 to 507 of the family's 1533-position model. The record is from RNAcentral.